AACGCACAUUGCGCCCUUUGGCAUUCCGAAGGGCAUGCCUGUUCGAGCGUCAUGAUCAAACCUCAAGUAUUGUGCUUGGUAUUGGGUGUUCGUCUCAUCUGUCUAUGUGUACAGGUAGUGGCGUGCCUGAAAGUUAAUAGCGGGUGCCUCAAUAGGACUCAAGCGUAGCAGACUGACGCGCUUUGGAGAAAUUUUGUGGACCUUAAUAAAACAAUUAGUUGGACCUCGGAUCAGGUAGGGAUACCCGCUGAACUUAA
Molecule: unclassified non-coding RNA, 257 nt
Filed under: uncultured fungus
Lineage: Eukaryota; Fungi
Description: sequence contains ITS2
Source: RNAcentral